This 450-nucleotide ribosomal RNA is filed under the name uncultured bacterium. Its description in RNAcentral is "partial 16S ribosomal RNA". It matches the Rfam family "Bacterial small subunit ribosomal RNA", at positions 354 to 796 of the family's 1533-position model. The record is from RNAcentral.
GUGGGGAAUAUUGGACAAUGGGCGAAAGCCUGAUCCAGCCAUGCCGCGUGUGUGAAGAAGGUCUUCGGAUUGUAAAGCACUUUAAGUUGGGAGGAAGGGCAGUAAGUUAAUACCUUGCUGUUUUGACGUUACCGACAGAAUAAGCACCGGCUAACUUCGUGCCAGCAGCCGCGGUAAUACGAAGGGAGCAAGCGUUAAUCGGAAUUACUGGGCGUAAAGCGCGCGUAGGUGGUUUUGUAAGUUGGAGGUGAAAUCCCCGGGCUCAACCUGGGAACUGCCUCCAAAACUGCAUGACUAGAGUACGGUAGAGGGUAGUGGAAUUUCCUGUGUAGCGGUGAAAUGCGUAGAUAUAGGAAGGAACACCAGUGGCGAAGGCGACUACCUGGACUGAUACUGACACUGAGGUGCGAAAGCGUGGGGAGCAAACAGGAUUAGAAACCCGGGUAGUCC